AAAUGCGAUAACUAGUGUGAAUUGCAGAAUUCCGUGAAUCAUCGAGUCUUUGAACGCACAUUGCGCCCCCUGGUAUUCCGGGGGGCAUGCCUGUCCGAGCGUCAUUGCUGCCCAUCAAGCACGGCUUGUGUGUUGGGUCGUCGUCCCCUCUUCGGGGGGGACGGGCCCCAAAGGCAGCGGCGGCACCGCGUCCGAUCCUCGAGCGUAUGGGGCUUUGUCACCCGCUUUGUAGGCCCGGCCGGCGCUUGCCGAACGCAAAACAACCAUUCUUUCCAGGUUGACCUCGGAUCAGGUAGGGAUACCCGCUGAACUUAAGC
This 317-nucleotide unclassified non-coding RNA is filed under the name plant metagenome. RNAcentral describes it as "partial contains 5.8S ribosomal RNA, internal transcribed spacer 2, and large subunit ribosomal RNA". The stretch from base 1 to 104 matches the Rfam family "5.8S ribosomal RNA", at positions 51 to 154 of the family's 154-position model. The record is from RNAcentral.